GACGAACGCUGGCGGCGUGCCUAAUACAUGCAAGUCGAGCGAAUGGAUUAAGAGCUUGCUCUUAUGAAGUUAGCGGCGGACGGGUGAGUAACACGUGGGUAACCUGCCCAUAAGACUGGGAUAACUCCGGGAAACCGGGGCUAAUACCGGAUAACAUUUUGAACCGCAUGGUUCGAGAUUGAAAGGCGGCUUCGGCUGUCACUUAUGGAUGGACCCGCGUCGCAUUAGCUAGUUGGUGAGGUAACGGCUCACCAAGGCAACGAUGCGUAGCCGACCGGAGAGGGUGAUCGGCCACACUGGGACUGAGACACGGCCCAGACUCCUACGGGAGGCAGCAGUAGGGAAUCUUCCGCAAUGGACGAAAGUCUGACGGAGCAACGCCGCGUGAGUGAGGAAGGCUUUCGGGUCGUAAAACUCUGUUGUUAGGGAAGAACAAGUGCUAGUUGAAUAAGCUGGCACCUUGACGGUACCUAACCAGAAAGCCACGGCUAACUACGUGCCAGCAGCCGCAGUAA
Molecule: ribosomal RNA, 515 nt
Filed under: uncultured bacterium
Lineage: Bacteria
Description: partial 16S ribosomal RNA
Rfam family: Bacterial small subunit ribosomal RNA
Source: RNAcentral